RNAcentral lists this ribosomal RNA (1018 nucleotides) under Salinibacterium sp. RNAcentral describes it as "bacterial SSU rRNA". It matches the Rfam family "Bacterial small subunit ribosomal RNA", at positions 244 to 1273 of the family's 1533-position model. The record is from RNAcentral. Lineage: Bacteria; Bacillati; Actinomycetota; Actinomycetes; Micrococcales; Microbacteriaceae.
GGUAGUUGGUGAGGUAAUAGCUCACCAAGCCUACGACGGGUAGCCGGCCUGAGAGGGUGACCGGCCACACUGGAACUGAGACACGGUCCAGACUCCUACGGGAGGCAGCAGUGGGGAAUAUUGCACAAUGGGCGCAAGCCUGAUGCAGCAACGCCGCGUGAGGGACGACGGCCUUCGGGUUGUAAACCUCUUUUAGUAGGGAAGAAGCGAAAGUGACGGUACCUGCAGAAAAAGCACCGGCUAACUACGUGCCAGCAGCCGCGGUAAUACGUAGGGUGCAAGCGUUAUCCGGAAUUAUUGGGCGUAAAGAGCUCGUAGGCGGUUUGUCGCGUCUGCUGUGAAAACUGGGGGCUCAACCCCCAGCCUGCAGUGGGUACGGGCAGACUAGAGUGCGGUAGGGGAGAUUGGAAUUCCUGGUGUAGCGGUGGAAUGCGCAGAUAUCAGGAGGAACACCAAUGGCGAAGGCAGAUCUCUGGGCCGUUACUGACGCUGAGGAGCGAAAGCAUGGGGAGCGAACAGGAUUAGAUACCCUGGUAGUCCAUGCCGUAAACGUUGGGAACUAGAUGUAGGGGCCAUUCCACGGUUUCUGUGUCGCAGCUAACGCAUUAAGUUCCCCGCCUGGGGAGUACGGCCGCAAGGCUAAAACUCAAAGGAAUUGACGGGGGCCCGCACAAGCGGCGGAGCAUGCGGAUUAAUUCGAUGCAACGCGAAGAACCUUACCAAGACUUGACAUAUACGAGAACGGGCUAGAAAUAGUUCACUCUUUGGACACUCGUAAACAGGUGGUGCAUGGUUGUCGUCAGCUCGUGUCGUGAGAUGUUGGGUUAAGUCCCGCAACGAGCGCAACCCUCGUUCUUUGUUGCCAGCACGUAAUGGUGGGAACUCAAAGGAGACUGCCGGGGUCAACUCGGAGGAAGGUGGGGAUGACGUCAAAUCAUCAUGCCCCUUAUGUCUUGGGCUUCACGCAUGCUACAAUGGCCGAUACAAAGGGCUGCAAUACCGCGAGGUGGAGCGAAUC